CUGCAUUUUACAUGACUGCGGGGCCUGUUCCUUGCGCCUGUCUGGUCGCGUCACAUCAUGGAGGGUUUCUCGGGGCGGCCGGCCGCCUCUGAGCACAGCCAGGGUGGUGUUUGCAGCACAGCUGCUGCCUAGGCCUCGCUGCGGAGGUGCUGGGCCACGGCCCCGUGGAGGCAGAGCCGCAGGGCCAUCGACAUGUCCUUUGAAAACGGGCAUUUCCCCAACUCAUGCAGGUGGAGGGGAGAGCGAAGCCAAAUGGGACACCGGCCCCCACACACUGCCCCGGCUCCUGCAUUUCCGGAGAUGGAAACCUGGAGAGCAGCUGGGAUCUUGAAAACGUGGGUUGGACUGCGUCACCCCGACCCCUGCCUCAAAGCCCCUCCGUGGUUGCCUACAGCACAGCUUGAAGCCCCUUGGUUCUGCUUCCCGGGCCUGCAGCGCUGGCCCCAGCCUGGCCGAGCGAGCAUUUGUUCACCCAAGACCUUUCCCCUCCUGCCCUCGUGGAGCCUCCACAAGGAGUAAACAACCACUUCUGGUCCCUCAAAGCAUCAACUCUGUGCCUUGCAGACAGCGGACACGUAACACAGCCACGCGGCGUGAACAUGAGCAGACUUCUUUUUUCCAGGAUGUGCACGGUUUCCACGACAAUGCCCACUGCACGCCUUAUGGCCUCACCAGAGACGUAAAGCAGAUGCCAAGAAACUUCCCCCCAAAAUGGGCUGGCUUGCCAAGCCCAGGACCGCCUGUCCAGCUGGGGCUGGGGGCAAGGAUCCCAUUUUCUGUGACUCUCUUUGCUCUGAUGGUCAGGUUCACCGGCCGUACGUGUAAUCUGAAGCAUUCGGUAGCGAUCUA
RNAcentral lists this long non-coding RNA (849 nucleotides) under Homo sapiens (human). RNAcentral's name for it is "non-protein coding lnc-HMX1-1:2". The record is from RNAcentral. Lineage: Eukaryota; Metazoa; Chordata; Mammalia; Primates; Hominidae.